GUUUUAAUAGUUUAAUAAAAACACUGGUCUUGUAAAUCAAAAAUAUAAUAAAUUUAUUUAAAACU
RNAcentral lists this transfer RNA (65 nucleotides) under Hyalurgus flavipes. Its description in RNAcentral is "tRNA-Thr". It matches the Rfam family "tRNA". From Rfam's summary of the family: Transfer RNA (tRNA) molecules are approximately 80 nucleotides in length. Their secondary structure includes four short double-helical elements and three loops (D, anti-codon, and T loops). The record is from RNAcentral. Lineage: Eukaryota; Metazoa; Arthropoda; Insecta; Diptera; Tachinidae.